Molecule: long non-coding RNA, 2160 nt
Organism: Rattus rattus (black rat)
Lineage: Eukaryota; Metazoa; Chordata; Mammalia; Rodentia; Muridae
Exons: 2
Source: RefSeq, a predicted model, not a curated record
GAAUGAAUCGUCUGCUUCUGCAAAUCAAACAGUCCGUGUGCUAAGGAAGGAAGUCAGCUGGAGUGAAUACAGUCAUAUCCUCUUCUUGGAGAGAGCUUGCAAUGCAGAUCCCUUCAAGAUGAGUAGAAAGUUAAAGGAAACAGCUUGGCAUGUGACUCACACAGCCUGUUGAGAUAGUCCCAUGAAUGACAUCUGAAGGCUGGACAUUCACAUUACAGGUUCACAACGUACUAUCAAGAUACAGAAUCAGUGGUGACUACACUGAGCCCAGUGAGUGCCUCCUCAGUCUGGGAUAAUAAAUGACAGUGACAGCAGCGGUCAUCCAUCCCAGGUUCCCUGGAGACGAGUGAGUAACAGUGUACAUUCCUUUAUAGCCGCGGCUCUCAGCCUUCCUGAUGCCGUUUGCGACCCUUUUAAUUCGGUUCCUCGUGUAGUGGUGACCCUCAACCGUAAAAUUACUUUUGUUGCUACUUCACAACUGUAAUUUUGUUACUGUUAUGAAUCAUAAUGUAAAUAUGUGAUAUGCAGGAUAUCUGAUAUGCAGCAGGUUGAGAACCAUGGCUUUAUAGGGAAGGGCGGAAGCUGUGGUUGGGUCCCACACUUAUACUCCUUACAACGAGGUGCCAGGUCUAAGAGUUUCCACACCUCUCUCUUGGGCAUCCUUGUUUACUCUUUGUCAAAAUGAACAAAAAGACAGAUAUUGGAUGUUAUUUUGUGAUGUCUCAAACAGUGAGCAAAUGAUAUAUUUACCAAGCCUACAUGGUUUAAACAAACAUGAAUUCUAGCUGUAAAUAUUCUAGGGAAUGAGUCUGGGUAGAUGCUGUCCACCAAUAAAUCUUGUUUUAUACUGGGCGUAGCAAAAGCCAUGCUCAUGCCUGAAUUAUUUAAGCUUUAUCACGAUUACAAGUGGCAAAGAUAUACAUUUGCUUAGGAUUUUAAAAGAAUGGCAGGCCCCUCACUCAUCCUCGGGGAAUAUGCACAGUCAUUAGCUUAAAUGAGAAUCCCUUUUCCUCCGAUGAAAACUGUAGGCUCUGACAAGUCAAACACAAGGUUCCCAAAACAAUUCAGCAAGGACAAGCUAGAGACCAGAGCAGGGCUGCAGACGUCUUUCUCUGACUUACGCUCUUGCUUGCCCAUGGCCUCUGUAUUCUGCAGGAGGAGCUAAUUUUAUCUCCAGGCCUGUGGGUUAAAGUUAAAUGGCACGGCUUAUGCAAAGUGCAUAAUUCAAGUCUGAACAGAGCUUGACUCUUCUCAUUUAAAAAAAAAAAAAUCAAGUCAGGGCACUGGGUCCCACAGGAAUCCUCGGUUUAUAAACAUUUGAAUUGGUUUGCAUGAUAUUUCUUGAUGCCAUUCAUGGCUUUAAAACAUCGCAGCUGGUUUCAUUUUAUACCUAAUCAAAUACAAGUAGGGGCACUCAUGAUCAGGUUAGCUAGUCGACUGAUUUUAAGAAUCAAUGUUCACCAUGCUUAAUAUUGUUGUUUAAAAAUUUUAAAUGUAAGAGGCAGAAAUUUUUUUAUAAGGUUGAUGAAAUUCAGACCUGGAAACAAUAUGGGAGUUCUUUUUCUUUCUUUCCUUCUUUAAUUAUUAAUUAGUAUCUAUGUUCUUGAGACAGAAUCUCACUGUCUAGCUAUGACUGGCCAGGAGCUCACUAUGUAAAUGAGUCCAGCAUCAAACUCACAGAUACCUGUCUGCCUCUGCCUCCUGAAUGCUGGGAUUAAAGGUUUGUGCUGCCUCACCCUCAAUAAAGUCAUUUAUAACAGACUUAAAGUAAUUUGGGAGGGGGCCUGGAGACAUGGCUCAGCAGUUGAAAACUGGCUUUUCUUUAGGGGAUCUGGGUUUGAUUCCCAGCACCCACAUCGAGGCUCAAAACCAUCUAUAAUUCCAGUUCCAGAGAAUCCAAUGCCCUCUUCUGAACUCUCUGAGCACCAGGCACACUUGUGAUACCCAGACAUAUAUGUAGCCAAAACACUCAUACAUUAAAAAAAAAGACUCUUAGAAAAUAAUGGGAUGAUAUUUUAGCUGACAUUUUUGAUAAAGUCCAUCACGGUUCUGAUGACUGUAUCUUGCCCAGAGAUCUGGGCGGGAACUUCUGUAUACUGACCAAAGCUGAAAACCAUCCUUAUUUUAACUAUGUUAUAUCAAUAAAUUCUAAUUUAACAA